Quercus robur (English oak) is the source of this 2391-nucleotide long non-coding RNA. RefSeq lists it as uncharacterized. The record is from RefSeq and is a predicted model, not a curated record. The transcript is spliced from 9 exons. NCBI's taxonomy places the organism in Eukaryota, Viridiplantae, Streptophyta, Magnoliopsida, Fagales, Fagaceae.
UCUCCAGCAGCAAACAAUGCGACUAAGCUAUGAAUAUUGUCAAUAAUAGCUGAGAUAGACCAAUCUACGGACUGGUAUUUGCCAGCAAUUGAGUCGAAGCAAAUUUUAGAGUCACCUUCUAAAAUCACGUCUCCAGUUUUCAGAAAUAGCUAUAAUAUACAUAUUUACUCCUUGAAGGCGCAUCAUUUAGAUAUUGGUUAUAUAUUGUGCUGUGGAACAUGUUUAUCUGUGGUUUAAAAAUGCAGAAGUGAGGCCAUGCUUGAAGGGAAGGCUGUCAAUGCUUCUCAAGUUCUUAACUACUACAAGCACAUGGUCAUGAUUUGUCAAUAAGCAUUCUUUAAAAAGUUGUAAACCCCCUGCUUGCAAGUGGACAUGAUUUCUUGAUGGUUGAGAAUGUCAAGUGCUGAUUUCAGUGGAAGUUAGUACCAGAAGAGAGAGUUGCUGGUGAGGUGCAAGCUUUCUAUGUAAAGAUUGAAUGGGGAACCGAUCGAAUUGCAAUUGGAUUUUAUGGUUUGAUGGCUUAGGAGAAAUCCAUAGUCCCUCUACAAUUCGGGAAGACUUAUCCUUCGUACUUAUGAAAGGCAAGGUGGCUGCACCUGUACUCACCAGUAGCUCUGAGGAUUGCAGCUUUUGUUGUGGAAAGCAAACACUAAGCUGGGAGAUAUAAGCUAUUAAGAAAUAAACAUAUUUACUCCUUCCAGUGUUGCAGCAGAAGCAAUCUUCUCAACUCCUAAAAAUUCUUCUCAAAUUACAAAAUUUGGAGAAUGUCAUUUCAACCAGAGAUCUGGCCUUGUAGAGAUGAUCAAAGCAUUGUCACCAAUACACUGCAGAUUAACAGCCACUCUUAGGGCUUUUUUUUUGCUAGUAACUCUAUGGGAAAUUCGGAAAUGCAGCAGUGAGGGCGUGGUUGAAGGGAAGGCUGUCAAUCGAGUUUGCAAUAGGACACAAUUUGUUGAUUGUCAAGAAUGGCAAGUGCUGAUUUCAAUGUAAGUAAAUACUAAAAGAGAAUGUUGCUGGUGAGGUUCAAGCUUUCUAUGCAAUGAUUGAAUGAGGAACCAAAUUGCAAUAGGCUGUUAUGAUUGGAUGGCUUAGUUGAAAUCCAUAGUCCAUUAUCAGACAAUUUGUGAAGCCUUGUCCUUUGUAUUAUGAAAGGUAAAGUAGCUGCACUUGUACUUAACAGUAGCUCUUAGGUUUGCAGCCUUUGUUAUGGAAAGCAAAUACCAAGCUGGGAGAUACAAGCUAUUAAGAAAGACAUUGCUUAAUGUACUGUGUUCGCAAUUUUCUAAGCUCUCAGCUUGCUAAUUCUUCAGUUUCCUGUUUGAUGCACAGAGCCUGGUCUUCUUCUUAGGCAGCUUUUAUGUUAAACAUUCCACCAAAUAAUCCUGGAUUAAAGAAUAAUCUGGACAACAUUGCACAUUGUACUCAAAAUCAUAGCUUUAAGAUAUACCACUACGGCGAAUGCUAAAGUAUACUAGCUACUGCUUUAUGAUUUAUGGUUGGAUGCAAAGUGGGCCAGUAAUCCAGCAUUAGAUUGAUUUAUUGGAUUCUUGCAAAGAUGGCCACAUUAGCCAAAUUCUAGCAUCAGGUAGUAAAACCUUGUCUUCAUUUCUUAUCGUUGUUAACUGUGAAGGUCAACAGAAAUACAAAAUUUAAUCAGCAAGGAAGACACAUUGACUAAAUUACGCUAUUUGGGAGGGACUUUGUUGCAGAUAUUGAAUGAAAUGAGGCAACCUUUUGCAAGUUUUACAUUGGAUAUGCGAUCUAAAGGAGGCUAACCAGUUAUUGUAGAUAUUCUAAACCAUUGAAAACAUGGAAAUGGCGAAGCACUCCCACUCAUUUUGCAAGUCUGGUAAUUAAAAAUAUUUUUCUUAUCGUCAUUUCAUAAUGUGCCACUGCGUUAUUUGUUCUGUAUAUUCUACUUUGGUCUUUGUAAAUAGUAUAGUGCCUCUACUCCCUUGAUAACUGAUUGGAUCUUGAAUUUUUCAACUGUCAUCCGCAAUUCCUAUUAGAAGAUUUCGGUAGCAAACACCAUGAUGCCAAAAUCCUUUUGUGUCUUCUAUGAAUUUCCUGCCCGUCAGUUCUGAGGAUCAUAAACUACCUAUCAAGCUUGACCUGGUUGCAAAUUGUAAUAUCUAUCCCUUUAAGCAUGUAUUAAUGAGAAGGCGUAUUAGGCUUACUAUACAGCUUUGGAUCGUGGUAAUGAUGGAACUUGCAGUUUUUGAAAUCCUGACUCAGACUGUUCAAUGGUGAAAAUUCUUACUACUUGAGAGAUGUAUUAUAAUGUUGCUGCUUGAGAGAUGUAUUAUGACUUUGAUAUUACAGUAGUGGAUUUCAAUGAAUUUGUUCUCUCUUUUCAAUACGAAGUAGAUAAAAUGAAGGUUUUUGAGGCUA